AGACCUCCACAGUGUGUUCAACAGAACUCUCUGAUUUCCCAGCAGAAGGCCUGGAACGCAAUCUCUGCUUGGUGCUGCCAGGAUAGCUUGGUUUUCCUCCCGUGAGCCCUUGGUUAUGAAACCGGCACCUGCCCAAGGUCAGCGGAGUUAAACUGAAGCAAGAAAUAACUAAACAUUGAGAAAGCAUUUCAAAGACACGAGAAGUCCACCAACCCAGAAAUUAUCUGGAAGUGUGCCUGUCUCCGUGGGCCCAGUCUGAGGAGCUGGGACGGAGAGGGCACCUUCAUGAGUUUUAAGACCUGCUGUGUGCAACCAUCGUGGCUACCUCAGAGAGAAGGAUAGCAUUCACUCCCAAGGGAUUUCCUAUAGGGAACCAAGAUCAAACUACCCCUGAUGUAGAACAUCUGCAUGCUCACUGGCCAGUUGCCUGACAGAGAGGCCUGCCCCUCAGGGCCCUACACCUCCAUGUAUACGUCCUGAAACCAACAGAGAUGACUUCAUCUUCUUUCUCGGGCAACGGAGUAUCAACCUCCGGGGAAAUAGCAAGAGAUGGGACUGGAGACUUGAAGUGUCUUCCCAAAUUGGUGAAACCUGCCCCACCUCCAGGUUGAUCCCUUUCUCCAUUCCCGUUGGAGCUUUGGGCAGCUCUCACCAUCUUCAAUGGGCACAUAAAGUCUCUGUUGUCUGUGUUGAUACAACAGUGGUGGUCUCUGGUGAGGACACCAAAUUAUCUGAAUAGAUCUUCUAAGGAAGAUGGGGAUCAAGAAAGACCUUGAAGCACCGUAAACUAUCCUGGCACCCAUGUUUGGGAAGAAGCUCAAGUUGCACAAAAGUUUAAAACUACUCAGACAUGGCGGACCUGUCGUGAGCGUCUGUGCUCCCUUCUCAAAGGGCUGAGUGCACAGUGUGUCCCAGUCCAUCCCCCAGAGACUGGCUCUCCCUCCUGACAGACACCCAGUGACUCCCUAAUGCUUGGAAAUGGUCCUGGGACUCUCUGGCAUACACCAGGUUCCUCUCUUGCCAAGGCUCUGGAUGUUGUGAGAAUGUGCCAGAACUUGCUUGCUAUUGGGCAAAUACUUAAAAUAAAAUCUGGCAUUUU
This is a long non-coding RNA of Mus musculus (house mouse), 1099 nucleotides long. RefSeq annotates it as predicted gene, 29805. The record is from RefSeq and is marked predicted. The transcript is spliced from 3 exons. Lineage: Eukaryota; Metazoa; Chordata; Mammalia; Rodentia; Muridae.